UGAGGAAUAUUGGUCAAUGGGCGCAGGCUUGAACCAGCCAAGUAGCGUGAAGGAUGACUGCCCUAUGGGUUGUAAACUUCUUUUAUAUGGGAAUAAAGUUUUCCACGUGUGGAAUUUUGUAUGUACCAUAUGAAUAAGGAUCGGCUAACUCCGUGCCAGCAGCCGCGGUAAUACGGAGGAUCCGAGCGUUAUCCGGAUUUAUUGGGUUUAAAGGGAGCGUAGGUGGACAGUUAAGUCAGUUGUGAAAGUUUGCGGCUCAACCGUAAAAUUGCAGUUGAUACUGGCUGUCUUGAGUACAGUAGAGGUGGGCGGAAUUCGUGGUGUAGCGGUGAAAUGCUUAGAUAUCACGAAGAACUCCGAUUGCGAAGGCAGCUCACUGGACUGCAACUGACACUGAUGCUCGAAAGUGUGGGUAUCAAACAGGAUUAGAUACCCUGGUAGUCCACACAGUAAACGAUGAAUACUCGCUGUUUGCGAUAUACAGUAAGCGGCCAAGCGAAAGCAUUAAGUAUUCCACCUGGGGAGUACGCCGGCAACGGUGAAACUCAAAGGAAUUGACGGGGGCCCGCACAAGCGGAGGAACAUGUGGUUUAAUUCGAUGAUACGCGAGGAACCUUACCCGGGCUUAAAUUGCAUUUGAAUAUAUUGGAAACAGUAUAGCCGUAAGGCAAAUGUGAAGGUGCUGCAUGGUUGUCGUCAGCUCGUGCCGUGAGGUGUCGGCUUAAGUGCCAUAACGAGCGCAACCCUUAUCUUUAGUUACUAACAGGUCAUGCUGAGGACUCUAGAGAGACUGCCGUCGUAAGAUGUGAGGAAGGUGGGGAUGACGUCAAAUCAGCACGGCCCUUACGUCCGGGGCUACACACGUGUUACAAUGGGGGGUACAGAAGGCAGCUACCUGGUGACAGGAUGCUAAUCCCAAAAGCCUCUCUCAGUUCGGAUCGAAGUCUGCAACCCGACUUCGUGAAGCUGGAUUCGCUAGUAAUCGCGCAUCAGCCAUGGCGCGGUGAAUACGUUCCC
RNAcentral lists this ribosomal RNA (1017 nucleotides) under uncultured organism. RNAcentral's name for it is "bacterial SSU rRNA". It matches the Rfam family "Bacterial small subunit ribosomal RNA", at positions 355 to 1375 of the family's 1533-position model. The record is from RNAcentral.